Molecule: ribosomal RNA, 472 nt
Filed under: uncultured bacterium
Lineage: Bacteria
Description: SSU rRNA
Rfam family: Bacterial small subunit ribosomal RNA
Source: RNAcentral
AGGACGAACGCUGGCGGCGUGCUUAACACAUGCAAGUCGAGCGGAAAGGCCCUUCGGGGUACUCGAGCGGCGAACGGGUGAGUAACACGUGAGCAACCUGCCCUUGGCUCUGGGAUAGCCUCCGGAAAACGGGGAUUAAUACCGGACAUUCACUUUCUCCUGCAUGGGGGGUUGGUGGAAAGUUUUUCGGCCAGGGAGGGGCUCGCGGCCUAUCAGCUUGUUGGCGGGGUAACGGCCCACCAAGGCGACGACGGGUAGCCGGCCUGAGAGGGCGAUCGGCCACACUGGGACUGAGACACGGCCCAGACUCCUACGGGAGGCAGCAGUGGGGAAUAUUGCACAAUGGGCGCAAGCCUGAUGCAGCGACGCCGCGUGGGGGAUGAAGGCCUUCGGGUUGUAAACCCCUUUCACCAGGAGCGAAUUCAGACGGUACCUGGGAAGAAGCGCCGGCUAACUACGCGCCAGCAGCCGC